GGUUAAGUUGUUAAGGGCGCACGGUGGAUGCCUUGGCACUAGGAGCCGAUGAAGGACGGUACUAACACCGAUAUGCUUCGGGGAGCUGUAAGUAAGCUUUGAUCCGGAGAUUUCCGAAUGGGGGAACCCACUGCUCGUAAUGGAGUAGUAUUUUCACCUGAAUACAUAGGGUGAUAAAGGCAGACCCGGGGAACUGAAACAUCUAAGUACCCGGAGGAAGAGAAAGCAAACGCGAUUUCCCAAGUAGCGGCGAGCGAAACGGAAUUAGCCCAAACCAAGAGGCUUGCCUCUUGGGGUUGUAGGACACUCUAUACGGAGUUACAAAGGAACGGAGUAAAUGAAGAGGUCUGGAAAGGCCCGUCAAAGAAGGUAACAACCCUGUAGUUGAAACUUCGUUCCCUCCAGAGUGGAUCCUGAGUACGGCGGGACACGUGAAAUCCCGUCGGAAGCAGGGAGGACCAUCUCCCAAGGCUAAAUACUCCCUAGUGACCGAUAGUGAACCAGUACCGUGAGGGAAAGGUGAAAAGCACCCCGGAAGGGGAGUGAAAGAGAUCCUGAAACCGUGUGCCUACAAGUAGUCAAAGCCCGUUAAUGGGUAAUGGCGUGCCUUUUGUAGAAUGAACCGGCGAGUUACGAUCCCGUGCAAGGUUAAGUUGAUGAGACGGAGCCGCAGCGAAAGCGAGUCUGAAUAGGGCGAAAGAGUACGUGGUCGUAGACCCGAAACCAGGUGAUCUACCCAUGUCCAGGGUGAAGUUCAGGUAACACUGAAUGGAGGCCCGAACCCACGCACGUUGAAAAGUGCGGGGAUGAGGUGUGGGUAGCGGAGAAAUUCCAAUCGAACUUGGAGAUAGCUGGUUCUCUCCGAAAUAGCUUUAGGGCUAGCCUUGAAAUUGAGAGUCUUGGAGGUAGAGCACUGAUUGGACUAGGGGCCCCCAUCGGGUUACCGAAUUCAGUCAAACUCCGAAUGCCAAAGACUUAUGUUCAGGAGUCAGACUGCGAGUGAUAAGAUCCGUAGUCAAGAGGGAAACAGCCCAGACCACCAGCUAAGGUCCCAAAGUAUACGUUAAGUGGAAAAGGAUGUGGAGUUGCUUAGACAACCAGGAUGUUGGCUUAGAAGCAGCCACCAUUUAAAGAGUGCGUAAUAGCUCACUGGUCGAGUGACUCUGCGCCGAAAAUGUACCGGGGCUAAACGUAUCACCGAAGCUGUGGAUUGUUCUUACGAACAAUGGUAGGAGAGCGUUCUAAGGGCUGUGAAGCUAGACCGGAAGGACUAGUGGAGCGCUUAGAAGUGAGAAUGCCGGUAUGAGUAGCGAAAGAGGGGUGAGAAUCCCCUCCACCGAAUGCCUAAGGUUUCCUGAGGAAGGCUCGUCCGCUCAGGGUUAGUCGGGACCUAAGCCGAGGCCGAAAGGCGUAGGCGAUGGACAACAGGUUGAAAUUCCUGUACCACCUCCUCACCAUUUGAGCAAUGGGGGGACGCAGAAGGAUAGGGUAAGCGCGCUGUUGGAUUAGCGCGUCCAAGCAGUUAGGCUGA
RNAcentral lists this ribosomal RNA (1531 nucleotides) under Metabacillus sediminilitoris. Its description in RNAcentral is "Bacterial large subunit ribosomal RNA". It matches the Rfam family "Bacterial large subunit ribosomal RNA", at positions 1 to 1528 of the family's 2925-position model. The record is from Rfam by way of RNAcentral. Lineage: Bacteria; Bacillati; Bacillota; Bacilli; Caryophanales; Bacillaceae.